CUUAUACUCCCUCCGUUUCGAAUUACUCAUCGCAUAAAUGGAUGUAUCUAGAUGUAUUUUAGUUCUAGAUACAUCCAUUUCUGCGACGAGUAAUUUGGAACGGAGGGAAUAUUAU
Non-coding RNA from Triticum aestivum (bread wheat), 115 nucleotides. The record is from Rfam. NCBI's taxonomy places the organism in Eukaryota, Viridiplantae, Streptophyta, Magnoliopsida, Poales, Poaceae.